This 199-nucleotide long non-coding RNA is filed under the name Vigna radiata. RNAcentral describes it as "long non-coding RNA (VRAD_LNC004018)". Lineage: Eukaryota; Viridiplantae; Streptophyta; Magnoliopsida; Fabales; Fabaceae. The record is from RNAcentral.
CCAAAGAAACAUGACCACCACCCAAACCAAAAACCCCAAUGCCAGAAUACGCCCUUACCUUCUCUAAGGUCGCCUUUCCCUGGUUGAGACAAAACGAAACGAAGGGAGCAAUGGAGAGAACGAAGCAAUAGUUAUAGUGGUGGUGGACGAUGAACGAAGACGUUGGAAGAAGGCGUUGGUGUUCGAAACUGUUCUCGGC